UACGUAGGGGGCGAGCGUUAUCCGGAUUUACUGGGCGUAAAGCGCGUUAAGGCGGUUGGCAAAGUUGGUGGUGAAAUUUCAGGGCUCAACCCUGAAACUGCCUCCAAUACUGGUCGGCUAGAGUGCGAGAGAGGAAGGUGGAAUUCCCGGUGUAGUAGUGGAAUGCGUAGAUAUCGGGAGGAACACCAGUGGCGAAGGCGGCCUUCUGGCUCGUAACUGACGCUGUAGCGCGAAAGCGUGGGGAGCGAACGGG
Molecule: ribosomal RNA, 253 nt
Filed under: uncultured bacterium
Lineage: Bacteria
Description: partial 16S ribosomal RNA
Rfam family: Bacterial small subunit ribosomal RNA
Source: RNAcentral